GGCUCCUAUCCUGCAAGUCGAACGCUUCUUUCCUCCCGAGUGCUUGCACUCUUUGGAAGGAGGAGUGGCGGACGGGGGAGUAACACGUGGGUAACCUACCCAUCAGAGGGGGAUAACACUUGGAAACAGGUGCUAAUACCGCAUAACAGUUUAUGCCGCAUGGCAUAAGAGUGAAAGGCGCUUUCGGGUGUCGCUGAUGGAUGGACCCGCGGUGCAUUAGCUAGUUGGUGAGGUAACGGCUCACCAAGGCCACGAUGCAUAGCCGACCUGAUAGGGUGAUCGGCCACACUGGGACUGAGACACGGCCCAGACUCCUACGGGAGGCAGCAGUAGGGAAUCUUCGGCAAUGGACGAAAGUCUGACCGAGCAACGCCGCGUGAGUGAAGAAGGUUUUCGGAUCGUAAAACUCUGUUGUUAGAGAAGAACAAGGACGUUAGUAACUGAACGUCCCCUGACGGUAUCUAACCAGAAAGCCACGGCUAACUACGUGCCAGCAGCCGCGGUAAUACGUAGGUGGCAAGCGUUGUCCGGAUUUAUUGGGCGUAAAGCGAGCGCAGGCGGUUUCUUAAGUCUGAUGUGAAAGCCCCCGGCUCAACCGGGGAGGGUCAUUGGAAACUGGGAGACUUGAGUGCAGAAGAGGAGAGUGGAAUUCCAUGUGUAGCGGUGAAAUGCGUAGAUAUAUGGAGGAACACCAGUGGCGAAGGCUGCUCUCUGGUCUGUAACUGACGCUGAGGCUCGAAAGCGUGGGGAGCAGACAGGAUUAGAUACCCUGGUAGUCCACGCCGUAAACGAUGACUGCUAAGUGUUGGAGGGUUUCCGCCCUUCAGUGCUGCAGCAAACGCAUUAAGCACUCCGCCUGGUGAGUACGACCGCAAUGGUUGAGACUCACAGGCAAUUGACGGGAGCCCGCACAAGCGGUCGAGCAUGUGGUAUAAUUCUUAGCUA
Molecule: ribosomal RNA, 945 nt
Filed under: Enterococcus sp. enrichment culture clone PTmrs14
Lineage: Bacteria; Bacillati; Bacillota; Bacilli; Lactobacillales; Enterococcaceae
Description: bacterial SSU rRNA
Rfam family: Bacterial small subunit ribosomal RNA
Source: RNAcentral